Molecule: ribosomal RNA, 477 nt
Filed under: uncultured bacterium
Lineage: Bacteria
Description: partial 16S ribosomal RNA
Rfam family: Bacterial small subunit ribosomal RNA
Source: RNAcentral
GAUUAACGCUGGCGGCGUGCAUAACACAUGCAAGUCGAACGAUGAAACUUAAAUGAUUUCUUCGGAAUGAACUUAAGUGGAUUAGUGGCGGACGGGUGAGUAACGCGUGAGUAACCUGCCUUACACAAGGGGAUAGCCGUUGGAAACGACGAAUAAUACCCUAUGAAACUAUCACUUCGCAUGAAGCGAUAGUCAAAGUGUUAGCGGUGUAAGAUGGACUUGCGUCUGAUUAGCUAGAUGGUGAGAAAAAAGCCCACCAAGGCAACGAUCAGUAGCCGGCUUGAGAGAGUGUACGGCCACAUUGGGACUGAGGCACGGCCCAGACUCCUACGGGAGGCAGCAGUGGGGAAUUUUGCACAAUGGGGGAAACCCUGAUGCAGCGACGCCGCGUGAUUUAGAAGGCCUUCGGGUUGUAAAAAUCUUUUGUAUAGGAAGAAAAUGACAGUACUAUACGAAUAAGGUCCGGCUAAUUACGUG